GACGAACGCUGGCGGCGUGCUUAACACAUGCAAGUCGAACGGAAAGGCCCUGCUUUUGUGGGGUGCUCGAGUGGCGAACGGGUGAGUAACACGUGAGUAACCUGCCCUUGACUUUGGGAUAACUUCAGGAAACUGGGGCUAAUACCGGAUAGUAGCUCCUGCUGCAUGGUGGGGGUUGGAAAGUUUCGGCGGUUGGGGAUGGACUCGCGGCUUAUCAGCUUGUUGGUGGGGUAGUGGCUUACCAAGGCUUUGACGGGUAGCCGGCCUGAGAGGGUGACCGGCCACAUUGGGACUGAGGUACGGCCCAGACUCCUACGGGAGGCAGCAGUGGGGAAUAUUGCACAAUGGGCGGAAGCCUGAUGCAGCAACGCCGCGUGCGGGAUGACGUCCUUCGGGUUGUAAACCGCUUUCGCCUGUGACGAAGCGUGAGUGACGGUAAUGGGUAAAGAAGCACCGGCUAACUACGUG
Molecule: ribosomal RNA, 468 nt
Filed under: uncultured bacterium
Lineage: Bacteria
Description: partial 16S ribosomal RNA
Rfam family: Bacterial small subunit ribosomal RNA
Source: RNAcentral